GGUCCCGUAGCUCAGGUGGAUAGAGCGCAUGAUUCCUAAUCAUGAGGCCGCAAGUUCAAAUCUUGCCGGGAUCACCA
This 77-nucleotide transfer RNA is filed under the name Kordiimonadaceae bacterium. Its description in RNAcentral is "tRNA-Arg". It matches the Rfam family "tRNA". Rfam says of the family: Transfer RNA (tRNA) molecules are approximately 80 nucleotides in length. Lineage: Bacteria; Pseudomonadati; Pseudomonadota; Alphaproteobacteria; Kordiimonadales; Kordiimonadaceae. The record is from RNAcentral.